GAAUAAAGGUCGUGGGGUGGUGUACAUUGCAGAGCUCGAUUGUUGAGGUGUUUCUUACAAGUCUAUCCGCAACAGCUCUAUCAUGA
RNAcentral lists this non-coding RNA (86 nucleotides) under Corethron pennatum. The record is from RNAcentral. Lineage: Eukaryota; Bacillariophyta; Corethrophyceae; Corethrales; Corethraceae.